CCUACGGGCGGCAGCAGUGAGGAAUAUUGGUCAAUGGGCGAGAGCCUGAACCAGCCAAGUCGCGUGAAGGAUGACGGCCCUACGGGUUGUAAACUUCUUUUGUCAGGGAGCAAUUGGGUCCACGCGUGGGCUUAGCGAGAGUACCUGAAGAAAAAGCAUCGGCUAACUCCGUGCCAGCAGCCGCGGUAAUACGUAGGGGGCAAGCGUUAUCCGGAUUUACUGGGUGUAAAGGGAGCGCAGGCGGCGUGGCAAGUCAGAUGUGAAAACCCGGGGCCCAACCCCGGGAGUGCAUUUGAAACUGCCAUGCUGGAGUGCCGGAGAGGUAAGCGGAAUUCCUAGUGUAGCGGUGAAAUGCGUAGAUAUUAGGAGGAACACCAGUGGCGGAGGCGGCUUACUGGACGGUAACUGACGCUGAGGCUCGAAAGCGUGGGGAGCAAACAGGAUUAGAUACCCUAGUAGUC
Molecule: ribosomal RNA, 461 nt
Filed under: uncultured bacterium
Lineage: Bacteria
Description: partial 16S ribosomal RNA
Rfam family: Bacterial small subunit ribosomal RNA
Source: RNAcentral